RNAcentral lists this ribosomal RNA (274 nucleotides) under uncultured bacterium. Its description in RNAcentral is "partial 16S ribosomal RNA". It matches the Rfam family "Bacterial small subunit ribosomal RNA", at positions 523 to 796 of the family's 1533-position model. The record is from RNAcentral.
CUACGGAGGUAGCAAGCGUUAUUCGGAAUCACUGGGCGUAAAGGACGCGUAGGCGGGUUUGUAAGUCAGGUGUGAAAUCCUACAGCUCAACUGUAGAACUGCACUUGAAACUACAGACCUAGAGUAUGGAAGGGGCAGAUGGAAUUAGUGGUGUAGGGGUAAAAUCCGUAGAUAUCACUAGGAAUACCGAAAGCGAAGGCGAUCUGCUGGGACAUUACUGACGCUGAGGCGUGAAAGCGUGGGGAGCAAACAGGAUUAGAAACCCCAGUAGUCC